UUCGGUCCUUCUUCUUCUUCUCGUCUCUUGGUCGUUCACGAAUCUCCUCACUCCUCUCAUCUACUUCUUUCUCUUAUCUUCCCCUUCCUCUCUUCUUCGUGCGGUUCGCUCUGGAUUGGGAUCUCAGCACACGGGUUUAUUAAUCGGGUCGAUUCGGUAAUCAAUGGAGCCCCAAGAUGAAGAGGCUCAAUUGCAAGUGUUCCUCGAUCGUACCUCUCGAGCUACGAGGGGAAAACGAAUGACAAAACUGCUGGACGAGGAGAUUGAAGAAGACAACAACUUUUGGAACCAAGAAGCUUUAAAAGAGGAAGAGAAUGAUGUAGAAUACGAGGAGGAAGGAGAGGUUGCUGAUGUUUUUGAUAGUGACUUUGAUGAAGAUGAGCCCGAGGCAGAUGAAGAAGCGGAAAACGAACCAGAUGAGAGGACAAGGACUAAAAAGAAACUAAUAUUUCCUGGAAAGCAACCCCCAAAGAAGAGUAACAAGAAGAAGAAAGAGAAGGUGGUUUCAAAGUCAGAAAAUUCUUCUAAAGAUGAGAAAACUUCGGAUCAGUUGACUCCUUCAGAACAUCAUGAUGAUGCCCCUGAUGAUGCAGAGGCGGAGAAAGUUGUAAGAAAAUCUACAAGAACCUCUGUGGUUAUUAGGCAAGCUGAAAGGGAUGCAAUCCGUGCAGCAUUACAAACUACAAUAAAGCCUGUAAAAAAGAAAAAGGAAGGUGAGGAGAAAAGGAUGACCCAAGAGGAGAUGCUUCUAGAAGCAGCACAAACAGAGGUAAUGAAUUUGAGAAACUUGGAAAGGGUAUUAGCAAGAGAGGAAGAAGUUAAAAAAAGAGCUACUGUUCAUAAAGCAGUUUACAGUGGUCCACAAAUACGAUAUCUUUCCAAAGAUGGUUACUCGUAUAUAGAAUUCAUUAAUGGGUCUUCCUUUGGAUCAGAGCUCUCAACAACUUCUACCCCAUAUCCAAAGAAGGCAGUAUGUGCUGUUACUGGGCUUCCUGCAAUGUACCGCGAUCCAAAGACUGGUUUACCUUACGCAACAAAAGAAGCUUUCAAAAUCAUCCGUGAGAGGUGUGAUUUAGAGAGUAAGAGUAGUGCGUAUAUGCAGAAAAGCAACAUGGAGCUUUUGUCGGAUCCAACUUUUGAGAUAGGAUUCUCUCGUAAGAGAAAGAGAUCAGUGAUUCCGCGAGACAAGGAAACAUCUUACAUUCGGCCUUUUGCUCGUUUCCGGCGAAUGCCAGACUCUGAAGAGGAAGUAGAUGAUUCUGACUAACUCUAGCUCUGCUCACACCUUUAUCAGGUUUGGAAGCAUAUAGGUCCAUAGAAUUUGGGUAAUGUUUAACAUUGACAGUUGUCAAGAAAUCUUGAGCUCAAAGAAAGAUUAUUUAUUACUAUUAUCACUUUCAGCUUCACAAUCAAAAUGAUGGGCCGGCUGGAUAUCAGAGAAUGAGCUCUGUAGCUCGAUCGAUUGUAGCCGCUUGCUUCACUUACAAUUCACUCUAUUGAGGCAUUAUUGAUCACAUCUCAAUGUGCAAAUAAAUAGUACUAUUGCUUCUCUUGUGCUACAUUAUUUAUAUUUUUACUCAUGGAAUUUGGAUGUUGCCUUAUUAGAUAGAUAGCUUAUGCUGUAAAUUAACUGAUGGAUUCAAUUCGUUCAAUGCAACAGCUAUUGUUGAUUACCAAAA
RNA transcript from Andrographis paniculata, 1679 nucleotides. It is a transcript of the gene named SWR1 complex subunit 2, with no coding region annotated. Lineage: Eukaryota; Viridiplantae; Streptophyta; Magnoliopsida; Lamiales; Acanthaceae. The record is from RefSeq and is a predicted model, not a curated record. The transcript is spliced from 13 exons.